This is a long non-coding RNA of Manis javanica (Malayan pangolin), 768 nucleotides long. RefSeq lists it as uncharacterized. The record is from RefSeq and is a predicted model, not a curated record. Lineage: Eukaryota; Metazoa; Chordata; Mammalia; Pholidota; Manidae.
CUGGAAGCUCGGACCCCGGCUUGGGUCCAGCCUUUCUCGCCUAUUCCUGGCCCCGCCCGAAGCGGGGUGGGGAGUUUGGGUGUCCGGGCCUCGGUGAUCGCUCCCGGCAGCCGGCAGAGGGAUGCCGGGGGGUUGGUCUCAGUGGAGUGGCUGUGAUUAGCGUGGGCUAGGAGAUAAUUCCUCCCUCUUCUUGGACUCCAAAGUGCUUUCUUAGGCCCUUGGCUCGGGCGCACUUCAGAGCCAACCCCUGUUUCCUGAUUCAUCUCCGUUUGGGGGGAAAAGUGGCUGCCAAGUCACGGAAGUGGCGGUGGCUGGAGGCCGCAGGCCCCGAGAUUUGUCUUGACUUUGUUGUCCGCCUGGGCAGAGCCCGGAAGGCCUUGAGGCUUUCACCUCCAGGACUGAGCCCCAGCAGCCGAGAGAGAAAAGUGCCUGAUGCCGAACGGGACCUGCCCUGGGGAGGCUCACUGCAGCUAGAAUUUAGAAUCCUGACUCACCCUUCAGCCAGCCACAAGGAAUGCUGAUUAUUCUGGAGCAGAAGCCAUGCUUCUGCAGUCCUGGCCAUAAAGCUGUGGAUUGUAUGACCUGGCAUGGCUGGUGCUGCCCGGCUGAGAUCACUGAGUUAUCUUUCCCAUCUGCAGAGUCCUGGCUGGGGUGCCAGGCCAACAAGCACAUGAAAAGAUGUGCUUACACGGAAUCAGUCUGCAUAGCCCAGUGAACAAUUCCAAAUUUGGCUCUCAUUUCGAUAAAUUACCUUAUAAAACAUUCACA